AGUGAACGCUGGCGGUAGGCCUAACACAUGCAAGUCGAACGGCAGCACAGUAAGCGUUUGCCCUUACGGGUGGCGAGUGGCGGACGGGUGAGGAAUACAUCGGAAUCUACUUUUUCGUGGGGGAUAACGUAGGGAAACUUACGAUAAUACCUCAUAUGACCUACGGGUGAAAGCAGGGGAUCUUCGGACCUUGCGCGAUUGAAUGAGCCGAUGCCGGAUUAGCUAGUUGGCGGGGUAAAGGCCCACCAAGGCGACGAUCCGUAGCUGGUCUGAGAGGAUGGUCAGCCACACUGGAACUGAGACACGGUCCAGACUCCUACGGGAGGCAGCAGUGGGGAAUAUUGGACAAUGGGCGCAAGCCUGAUCCAGCCAUACCGCGUGAGUGAAGAAGGCCUUCGGGUUGUAAAGCCCUUUUGUUGGGAAAGAAAAGCAGCAUGUUAAUACCCCGCUGUUCUGACGGUACCCAAAGAAUAAGCACCGGCUAACUUCGUG
Molecule: ribosomal RNA, 492 nt
Filed under: uncultured bacterium
Lineage: Bacteria
Description: partial 16S ribosomal RNA
Rfam family: Bacterial small subunit ribosomal RNA
Source: RNAcentral